RNAcentral lists this ribosomal RNA (1006 nucleotides) under Crepidobothrium sp. Its description in RNAcentral is "eukaryotic LSU rRNA". It matches the Rfam family "Eukaryotic large subunit ribosomal RNA", at positions 71 to 622 of the family's 3401-position model. The record is from RNAcentral. Lineage: Eukaryota; Metazoa; Platyhelminthes; Cestoda; Proteocephalidea; Proteocephalidae.
AGGAUUCCCCUAGUAACGGCGAGUGAAGAGGGAAAAGCCCAGCACCGAAGCCUGCGGCAGGUUUGCUGUUAGGCAAUGUGGUGUUUAGGCCGGCUCGUGGGACCACCACUCCACUCGAAGUCCAGCAUUGGGUAUGGUUACUGGAUUUGGCCCAGAGAGGGUGAAAGGCCCGUACGGGUGGAGUGUCAGACAUGUGAGGUGGUUCACCAGGUCGACCUUAGAGUCGGGUUGUUUGGGAAUGCAGCCCAAAGUGGGUGGUAAACUCCAUCCAAGGCUAAAUACUAGCACGAGUCCGAUAGCGAACAAGUACCGUGAGGGACAGUUGAAAAGUACUCUGAAGAGAGAGUAAACAGUACGUGAAACCGCAUGCAGGUAAACGGGUGGCGUCAAGCUGCAAGCCCAGAGAAUUCAGUCGGCUAGGGUGUUGUGUAUGCGCCUGGCGCAUCCAUCAGUCAGAGUAUGAUUGGAUAGUCCACCAGUAGAUGGUGGGCCUGGCCGCAAGGUCAGGAUAUGUGUACCGGGUGGGUGCCGGAGCAUGCUAUCCGUCUGGGGACUGUCUAGCCGGUGCACUUUCUCUGUGGUCAACACCACGACCGGUGGUAUUGCCAGUCUGCUGUGUCCAAGUCGUGCUUGGUAGGUCCUCGUGGCCAACCGGGUGCGAUCACAGGCAAAUUCAGUAAACGGCGUGAGGGUGUCUCGGCACUCUUGCGUGCUAUCGGCUACUGGUUGUCAACGGGCCUGCUCUGUGUUUGUUGUAACCGACACUCGGAGUGGUCCGGUGGGGCAUGGUGGUAAGAAUAACUGUGCAAGGCACCGGGGUUAUCGGCCUCAAAUGCAUCCCGCGUCCACGUUACAAGUGGCAGUAGUGCUCGCCGCCGCUGCCUGCUCGGUGCUGGGUUUGAUUGGCGUGUUGCCUGCACAAAGUAGGCCCGCCAAUAGCUCGGUCCGGGAUGGGUGGUUGGUGGUGUGCUGCCUCGUGGGGUGUGGUGGGCCCAACAGUCUGUGG